GAAAUGAGAUGUAACUGAAUGUUGUUUGUGAUGAUUCUGGAGAUUGUCACUUUGGAGAAGAUGUGCAAACAUUAGAACUUGCUGAGGAAUCGAUGCAGUCAUCAAUUUUAUUCUCUUGGAUCCAUCUUGGUUUGCAAAUGAGAAGAAAGAUGCAGCUGUAGCAGAGUUGCUGACUCCCAUCCCAGAAAAAGAAUUUCCAGGACACAUCAGUAAGAGUGUAAAGGUGAUGUGGGAAGCAUGAAACAUUUUCAUAAGUGAAGUUGGCAACGAUAAAGAGAGAUGCACCACAGAGAACCCUGUGAAAGGAGAGUGACAUGGUCAGAGAGAGGAGAUCCUGAGGGCCACCAAUCCAAGCUACCCUCCUUCCCUUCUAACUACUGAACUCUGAACUUGAAGGCUCACCAAGGGCUGCAGUGGCAGGCAGAAGUGACUCUUCAGCAGAGACUGGGGUAGCCCAGUAGACUGGUGGGCUGUCUGAAGACUUGGGAAGACACUGGAGAGGGGAAGUUGUCAGAAGCUGAGGUGCAGCCCUCACCAAAAUGAGAAGUCCUGUCACAGGCUCUGGCUGCUGCAGUUUCAUCAAAUUACACCCAGGAUGGAGCCAGAUCCACAAGUGACCUGGUCUCAGAGAGCAAAAGACAGAGAAGGCCCUUCUCCCAGGGACUCCACUAAUUCUCCAAUAGGAUGUGCAAAAUCUCCCCACAUUCUGUCUAAAGUCAUUUUCCAGAUCACAAAAGAGCAAGAGGAAGCCAGCUGAGAGAUUGUCCAAACUUAUGGAAAUGAAGUUUUGAAAUUAAAAAUCGUAGCUAUUGAAAUUAUUAGCGCAGGGGCUAGAGGUGUAGCUCAGAAAUAGAGUAGAAGUAGCACGCAAGAGGCCUUGGAUCUGAUCCCCUGCACAGCUCAAUAAAUAAAAAAGCAAAUAGCUUAAUUGGGUGUGGUAAAGUUUGUUACUUUUUUUUUUCUCUCAGCUAACCAGUUGAAAAGUGCUUGAAAUAAUGUUUAGAUUCAUUAAAUCAAAAAUAACAGGACUGGGGAUUUAGCUCAGUGGUGCUGCUGCCUGCCUGCCUUGGCAAGUGUAAGGUCCUGAGUUAAAAAAAACCAACUAGGGUAGGGGUUG
This is a long non-coding RNA of Heterocephalus glaber (naked mole-rat), 1117 nucleotides long. NCBI's taxonomy places the organism in Eukaryota, Metazoa, Chordata, Mammalia, Rodentia, Bathyergidae. The record is from Ensembl.